CACGUAGGCGGACUAUUAAGUCAGGGGUGAAAUCCCGGGGCUCAACCCCGGAACUGCCCUUGAUACUGGUAGUCUUGAGUUCGAGAGAGGUGAGUGGAAUUCCGAGUGUAGAGGUGGAAUUCGUAGAUAUUCGGAGGAACACCAGUGGCGAAGGCGGCUCACUGGCUCGAUACUGACGCUGAGGUGCGAAAGUGUGGGGAGCAAACA
This 207-nucleotide ribosomal RNA is filed under the name uncultured bacterium. RNAcentral describes it as "partial 16S ribosomal RNA". It matches the Rfam family "Bacterial small subunit ribosomal RNA", at positions 568 to 774 of the family's 1533-position model. The record is from RNAcentral.